Non-coding RNA from Potamilus streckersoni, 77 nucleotides. NCBI's taxonomy places the organism in Eukaryota, Metazoa, Mollusca, Bivalvia, Unionida, Unionidae. The record is from the annotation of a GenBank genome assembly.
GACCGCUCCGGUGGCCUAAUGGUUAGAGCAUCUGCCUCGGAUGCGGAAGGUCACGGGUUAAUACCCCGACCUAGUCU